RNAcentral lists this ribosomal RNA (465 nucleotides) under uncultured bacterium. Its description in RNAcentral is "partial 16S ribosomal RNA". It matches the Rfam family "Bacterial small subunit ribosomal RNA", at positions 28 to 507 of the family's 1533-position model. The record is from RNAcentral.
GACGAACGCUGGCGGCGUGCUUAACACAUGCAAGUCGAACGGAAAGGCCCCUUUGGGGGGAGUCGGGUGGCGAACGGGGGAGUAACACGCGCGUAAGCUGGGCAUGACUCCGCGAAAACUUUAGGAAACUGGGGCUAAUACCGGGUAGGAAUCAUUUCUGGCUGGUGGGGGGUGGAAAGCUUGGGCGGCUUUGGGUUGAGGCGCGGCCUAUCAGCUUGUUGGUGGGGUAGCGGCUUAGCCAGGCUGAGACGGGAAGCCGGCCUGGGUGGGCGACCGGCCACAUUGGGACUGGGAUUCGGCCCCGACUCCGACGGGAGGCAGCAGUAGCGAAUAUUGCUAUAUGGGCGGGAGCCUGAUGCAGCACCACCGCGUGCGCGAUGACGGCCUUCGGGUUGUGAUCCGCUUUCAGCAGGGGCGAGGCUUGUGGUGACGGUACCUGGAGAAGAAGCACCGGCUAACUCCGUG